AAGACCUCAAAUCAGGUG
This 18-nucleotide ribosomal RNA is filed under the name Puccinia crandallii. RNAcentral's name for it is "partial 28S ribosomal RNA". Lineage: Eukaryota; Fungi; Basidiomycota; Pucciniomycetes; Pucciniales; Pucciniaceae. RNAcentral also lists the same sequence under 1 other name. The record is from RNAcentral.